RNAcentral lists this ribosomal RNA (119 nucleotides) under Pteropus alecto (black flying fox). Lineage: Eukaryota; Metazoa; Chordata; Mammalia; Chiroptera; Pteropodidae. The record is from RNAcentral.
AUCUACGGCCAUGCUACUCUGAACAAGCCUGAUCCCAUCUGAUCUCAGAAGCUAAGCAGGGUCGGGCCUGGUUAGUACUUGGAUGGGAGACCACCUAGGAAGACCAGGUGCUGUAGGCA